This 497-nucleotide ribosomal RNA is filed under the name uncultured bacterium. RNAcentral describes it as "bacterial SSU rRNA". It matches the Rfam family "Bacterial small subunit ribosomal RNA", at positions 30 to 523 of the family's 1533-position model. The record is from RNAcentral.
AUUGAACGCUGGCGGCAGGCCUAACACAUGCAAGUCGAGCGAGAAAGGUCUUCGGACUGAGUACAGCGGCGGACGGGUGAGUAAAGCGUAGGAAUCUACCUGGUAGUGGGGGGAUAACUUGGGGAAACUCAAACUAAUACCGCAUACGCCCUACGGGGGAAAGCGGGGGACCGUUCGGGCCUCGCGCUAUCAGAUGAGCCUGCGUAGGAUUAGCUAGUUGGUGAGGUAAAGGCUCACCAAGGCGACGAUCCUUAGCUGGUCUGAGAGGAUGAUCAGCCACACUGGGACUGAGACACGGCCCAGACUCCUACGGGAGGCAGCAGUGGGGAAUAUUGCGCAAUGGGCGAAAGCCUGACGCAGCCAUGCCGCGUGUGUGAAGAAGGCCUUAGGGUUGUAAAGCACUUUCAAUUGGAAGAAAGUUGGUCGUUAAUAGCGGCCAGCCCUGACAUUACCUUUAGAAGAAGGACCGGCUAACUCCGUGCCAGCAGCCGCGGUAA